Molecule: transfer RNA, 65 nt
Filed under: Marmota monax (woodchuck)
Lineage: Eukaryota; Metazoa; Chordata; Mammalia; Rodentia; Sciuridae
Description: tRNA.Thr
Rfam family: tRNA (bases 4-60)
About the family: Transfer RNA (tRNA) molecules are approximately 80 nucleotides in length. Their secondary structure includes four short double-helical elements and three loops (D, anti-codon, and T loops).
Source: RNAcentral
GGAUAGCUCAGUGAUGGAGUGUUUGCCUAGUAUGUAUGAGGUCCUGGGUUCGAUUCCCAGCACCA